UCAUCCCCAUGGAGUUGCAGCAGAAUAGAUUUAAGUCAUGUUUCUCCGGAGCGCAGUGAAGUGGAUUGAAGCAACGAGACACAGCAGAACAGAAUAAGGCUACUUGAAGAAGAUGAGCACCAAAAAGUCAAGCCUCGGCGAGACCAGGCAAAUUUGGUCUUUCUUGGUCUUUGCUCUGUUCUCGUUACACGAAAACGAGCAAAGAGGGGCAACUGUAGAAGCCCAAAUUUGCCGGGCCAAGUGCCAAAAAUAAAACAAAAUAAAUAAAAUGCCACAGUCCAUUAAAGCAGGCCAAUAUGGCCUAAAUCAGAAAAUAAAAUACCCGGGCCCAUACCAGCAAAAUAGACCCAAAUAAUAAAAACAAAAGCAACCCAUUUUCAGCCAAUUUAAACCCAAAAACUACAAGCCCAAAUGCCCAAUAUUAAUAAAAACCCUAGAGGCCCGAAUGGCCCAAAACUACACCAACUUUCAAACACAAAAAGAAACCUCAGCCGCAUGUUGUUGCUGCCACCUCCUGCGCACGCCCACCGCCGCUACUCGCCAAUCGCUGGCUUCGCGUGUCCACGCGUCUGACACCAUCUGCCGCUGCAUGCUCCUCCUCCACUACCAGCACCUCCAUGCCCUGCAAGAUCAAGACAAAAAAAAUAGGAUAGAAUAAUAGAAAAAGGAUGUAAAAAGGGGUUAUAAAACCCGAAAUGAAG
This 701-nucleotide long non-coding RNA is filed under the name Gossypium barbadense (sea-island cotton). RNAcentral describes it as "long non-coding RNA (GBAR_LNC003743)". Lineage: Eukaryota; Viridiplantae; Streptophyta; Magnoliopsida; Malvales; Malvaceae. The record is from RNAcentral.